RNAcentral lists this ribosomal RNA (386 nucleotides) under uncultured Lachnospiraceae bacterium. RNAcentral describes it as "bacterial SSU rRNA". It matches the Rfam family "Bacterial small subunit ribosomal RNA", at positions 354 to 757 of the family's 1533-position model. Lineage: Bacteria; Bacillati; Bacillota; Clostridia; Lachnospirales; Lachnospiraceae. The record is from RNAcentral.
UGGGGGAAUAUUGCACAAUGGGCGAAAGCCUGAUGCAGCGACGCCGCGUGAGUGAAGAAGUAUUUCGGUAUGUAAAGCUCUAUCAGCAGGGAAGAAAAUGACGGUACCUGACUAAGAAGCCCCGGCUAACUACGUGCCAGCAGCCGCGGUAAUACGUAGGGGGCAAGCGUUAUCCGGAUUUACUGGGUGUAAAGGGAGCGCAGACGGCACUGCAAGUCUGAAGUGAAAGCCCGGGGCUCAACCCCGGGACUGCUUUGGAAACUGUAGGGCUAGAGUGCUGGAGAGGCAAGCGGAAUUCCUAGUGUAGCGGUGAAAUGCGUAGAUAUUAGGAGGAACACCAGUGGCGAAGGCGGCUUACUGGACGAUCACUGACGCUGAGGCUCGAA